AACCUAGCACACCUGCGGUGUGUACCUGCGGAGGGAUCAUUACCUAUUUGGCCUUUGUGGCUACGCUCGGGGGGCCUUUGGUCCCCGUCUGCACCCUUGUCCUUGCGCACUCAUGUUUCCUCGGUGGGCUUGCCUGCCGCUAGGACAACCUAAACUCUUGAAUUUUCAAUCAGCGUCUGAUAACAAUAAUAUUUACAACUUUUAACAAUGGAUCU
This 215-nucleotide unclassified non-coding RNA is filed under the name soil metagenome. RNAcentral describes it as "partial contains 5.8S ribosomal RNA, internal transcribed spacer 2, and large subunit ribosomal RNA". The record is from RNAcentral.